Molecule: ribosomal RNA, 460 nt
Filed under: uncultured bacterium
Lineage: Bacteria
Description: partial 16S ribosomal RNA
Rfam family: Bacterial small subunit ribosomal RNA
Source: RNAcentral
CCUACGGGCGGCAGCAGUGGGGAAUAUUGCGCAAUGGGCGAAAGCCUGACGCAGCGACGCCGCGUGAGGGAUGAAGGUCUUCGGAUCGUAAACCUCUGUCAGCAGGGAAGAACGGUCACUGUGCUAAUCAGCAGUGAAUUGACGGUACCUGCAAAGGAAGCACCGGCUAACUCCGUGCCAGCAGCCGCGGUAAUACGGAGGGUGCGAGCGUUAAUCGGAAUUACUGGGAGUAAAGCGCUCGUAGGCGGUAUGGCAAGGGUGAAAUCCCCGGGCUCAACGUGGGAACUGCCGUUGAAACUGGCGAGCUGGAGUGUGUGAGAGGAAAGUGGAAGUCCAGGUGUAGCGGUGAAAUGCGUAGAUAUCUGGAGGAACAUCAGUGGCGAAGGCGACUAGCUGGAACAUAACUGACGCUGAGGAGCGAAAGCGUGGGUAGCAAACAGGAUUAGAUACCCCAGUAGUC